Molecule: unclassified non-coding RNA, 4212 nt
Filed under: Drosophila pseudoobscura pseudoobscura
Lineage: Eukaryota; Metazoa; Arthropoda; Insecta; Diptera; Drosophilidae
Description: GA23474
Source: RNAcentral
AAAUUGAACUAAAAACAAACCCAAAAUGCUCUCCUCGGAAAUCUACACCAAUACGACCACCUCCACGGCUAUGUCGGCGGUGGGGAUAACUUCAGCUGCUUCUGCUUCUGCUGCUGCCUCAGUGGCAACCACAACAACAACAACAGCCACCACAUUGCAAGUGGUGAAAGCGAGAAAACGCCGCAAGCGUCGGAAACGCGCAGGUCACGCAAUUGGUGCCGCCUCCACCACCACCACCAUCACAGCUGCAGCCGCCACAGCCAGCCACCUCGGCAGUCCCCACACCCACACACACCCCCAAGCAGGAAGCGUUUCCCUACCGACAGCAAACGGUGGCAGGAAGUGCAAGGCCCAAUACUUCCAGCACGACAAUCGGGAGUACUUGGCAAAGUACGAGAGCUUUCAACUCACGGCGCACCACACGGCAUCGGGCGCAGCUGCGCUGAACUAUGCGGCGGUGGCGAAAAAGUUCAAGCCCUUGCGGCCGGCGUUAACAAGCGGCGCCAAGAAAACCAGGCGACCAGGAAUGCCCAGAAAGUCGAACCCUGACUGCGCCUGCGCCUGCCAAUCCGCAGUGACGGAGCCGGCCGCGGAACCCAGCCAGCGAACAGCUGUUGCCACGCACCAGGACUUGCCACUGUCCACGUCGCAGUGGGGAAACGGAAGCGCAAACGCGAACGCAUCAAAGAUCAAUAUCGAUGGCCAGAUACUGCUCGAGCUGCUGAAGCACUCCUCGAACACAUUGCUGGAGACACUGCUCGGUGCUGGCAGUGCUGUGUCAUCGAGUGCUCGCGACACCCAUCAGAUAGCCGAGGCACAGCAGCAAAAGAACGCAAGGCUGCGCGAGGCCUUCAACAUAUCGAGCUACUUUGUGGAGGGCAGCAGCUUCGACAACGAUCGCAAAGCAAAAGAGGAUCUGGCCAAAAGCGUGGCUCUACAAAAGGAACUGGACGCACAGCGCGAAAGCCUGGCAGCGGCGGCAGCGGCUGCAGCAGCUGCUGCAGGCAAGGACAAGGAUACGGGCAAGCGAUAUGCUUUGGUCCGUACCCCAUCCCGAGAGCGAGAGCGGGAUGGAGAAGGCCAUGUUGCCGCCGCCAGUGGCGAUGAGCGCGAACAUGUCUCAAAGUCGGACAAGAAGAAGCGCAAGAAGCGCGCCAGAGAAAGCUCUGCCAGUCCUGAGCGCAAAAAGGACAAGAAAAAGAAGUCAAAGAAGCACAAGAAAGAGAGUAAGUCCAAAAAGAAGAAGUCCCGCAAGCGCAAGCACAGCGCCAGUUGCACCGACAAGGAAACCGACAAGGACAGCGACGAGGAGGCGGCGGGCAGCAGCGAUGAGGAGCGCGACCGCGAUCGUGAGCUAAAGAGCGCACGCAAGAAAGCCAAGAAGGACAAGGAUAGCUUUCAAUGGCUCUCUUGUAGUUUUAAAAAGCGCGACAAGAAGCUGAAAAAGAAGUCACGGGCCCGUGCCAGCUCCUCGGACUCGGAGCCCUCCAACUCACCGUCGCGUAAUGAACGCAAAGGCAAGAAGUCGGGCAAAUCCCGCGAUCCAACAGCUACCAAAGCUGAAGACAAUGGCACAUCGCGGGAGAAUCCCUUCCGGAGCAGGUCCCGCGAACGUCGCAGGGAAUUAAAGCGGCCCAACGAAUCAUCGGCCGACGGUCGAAGGGACAAGCGCGAGCGUAGCGAUAGUCGCAGUCGACGUCCCAAGUCCAAUGAACGGGGGGCAACCACCCGUACUCCACCUCGCAAAGAGCCGGAAAGAAAGCGCGAACGUUCUAAGGAGAGAUUUCGAUCAAAAGAAAGGCAACGAUCAAAAGAAAGACAGCGAUCAAAGGAAAGACUUCGUUCGAAGGAAAGACAACGCUCGAAAGAAAGACAGCGAUCAAAGGAACGACCAAAAUCGAAGGAGAGACAGAGGUCGAGGGAAAGACAGCGAUCGAAGGAGAGGAUCCGCUCCAAAGAAAGACAGCGUUCAAAGGAAAGGCAACGCUCUAAAGAGAGGCAAAAGUCUAAGGAUAGACAGAGAUCUAAGGAUAGGCAGAGAUCUAAGGAUAGGCAGAGGUCAAAAGAGAGACAGAGGUCAAAGGAGAGGCAGCGAUCAAAGGCGAGACUUUAUUCGAAAGAGAGACUGCGAUCCAAGGAGAGGGCGCGAUCAAAGGAUAAACCAGUAGUUGAAAUCAAGCGCGACAGAUCAAAGGAUCGCCAGCGAUCAAAGGAGAGGAAACGAUCGGUGGAUAAGGCACCCUCGAAGGAGAGAGAUAUGUCCAAAGGUCGACAAAGAUCAAAGGAGAGACAGCGCUCCAAAGAAAGACGACGUUCUAAGGAUCGCGGUCAACAAUCGAAUGAGAAAAAGCGUUCCAAGGAGCGACAACGAUCAAAAGACCGUCAACGAUCCAAGGAGCGACAGGGAGUGCCAAACCUAGCCGUCUCUAAGGAACGUACCCGGCGCCAGAGAUCGCCAUCGACCUCGGCCAAAAAUUCAACCGAUAAUCGCAAGCCUACUCGCAGUUCUAGAUCACUUUCCCGUUCCCGCAAGCAGCAGUCGCCGGCCGCAGUUGUCGGGAGCAGCCGACGCAGUCAUUCCCCAGAGGUUCCACCCAAGAAGGCUGCGCCACCGGCAUUCAAUCCCUUUAAGGCUGCAGAAGACACUGUCAACGAUAUCCUGGGCACCAAGUCGGUGAUUGUCGAACUGGAGAAGACCAAGCGCAAGCGGGCAGUCUCCAGCUCUAGCUCGGCAUCGGGUAGCUCCAGUAGCAGCUCGUCUGCAUCCCGGACACCUUCGCCCAAGCCCAAGCCUGGCAAACUGCGACGACGCAGCAAAACAUCCGAUCCUAUCAAGAAGGAGAGGAGCCCCAAGCGAGAUCGUCGUACCCCGCGCCAGACCAGCGUGAAGCGUGAACGUUCAAGCACUCCACAAAAGCCCAAGCCAAAGGGAAAGGCGACCACACCCAGUCCGAAGCCAGCAAAGCGACGCUCGCACAGCUCAAGCUCUUCGGAACUGCGCUACUCGCCAGCAGAACGACAUCCAGAGCGCUAUCAGGACAUCAUACAAGACAAGAAGCGGCCAUCGAAGGCACGCGACCUUUCCACAACGAAGCCCGCGCCCGUGGUGCGCCUGAGGGCCCAGAGCGAUGACGGCAGCGAUGCCGAUGCGAGUGGCUCCAAUGUGGAUGCAGCAGCACUUGACGAGUUCCAGCAGAGCAAGCAAGAGCGCGAGGAGCUGCAGGAGCUGCGUAUGCUGGAGCAGCUCAAGUCGGGGAUCGCCGCCAAGGCAAAGCAGAAGAUCAAGACUAUGGAGAAGAACGGAGACGUCAGCAAGGACUCUGCCAAGGAGGGCAGUGAACCCUUAGUUGCUGCACUCGCCGACAGCAGUCUGGUGGACGCCAUCGUCUCCAAGGUGUCCACGGCCACUGUGGCUGCAGCGGAGAGUGCAGCUCGUCGAAGUCGGAGUCGUUCACGCCGCAGCAGUCACAGCCGCAGCAAGCGGCACACGAGUGGCAGUCAUCAUCAUCAUCACUCCAGUAGUCGCUCAAGAUCACGCUCCAGCUCCAGCAGCAGUGCCAGCGGCUCGCGCAGUUCUAGGUCCCGCUCUGGCUCGCAAUCAUCUCGUUCCAGCUGCUCAUCCCAAAGCAGCUCGGGCAGCUCCUCCAGCAGCGGCUCAGGCACAUCACAGUCUGGCUCACGUUCCCCAUCUAUACCACGGCGUCGGGGCUCACCCAGCUUUCUAGACAGACGCCGCAUUACGAGCCGUCGGCCGCCGCCCAGCACCAGACGCUAGUUGCUUUCCAUUGAACUUUGUGUUGCAUCGAUUUCCCAAUUUGUUUAAACACGGCACCUGAUUUUAUUUAAUUGAUCUUGAUUAUUCUUUUUUCCAGCUGACUCAGGAACUACUUAUAGUUUGAUUUUCAAAUUUAUUUCUUCCUUUCAAUGCAAUACAUAUAUUUGUGUGUGCUUGUAAAAUUUUUGUUCUGAUUAUUUCUCGUAUUUAGCGCAAGAUCUAUUGAUUUUGUGGUACACACGCCAAUAAAACAUGUCAUCUCUUAUAUCUUAUUGUUUCCUAGGACAUAAUUUCUAUAAUUUAUUUUUAGCGAAUUUUUAUUGUGUUGAUUACAAUUUUCAGUUGUGCUCGCAAGCGACCCAUUCCCUACCACCACAAGGCAGCCGGUGGCACUGAGGGGGGUGCUGCAGAGGCAGAGGAGGCCUCCAGCUGCUGCU